RNAcentral lists this ribosomal RNA (612 nucleotides) under uncultured Staphylococcus sp. Its description in RNAcentral is "bacterial SSU rRNA". It matches the Rfam family "Bacterial small subunit ribosomal RNA", at positions 36 to 630 of the family's 1533-position model. The record is from RNAcentral. Lineage: Bacteria; Bacillati; Bacillota; Bacilli; Caryophanales; Staphylococcaceae.
CUGGCGGCGUGCCUAAUACAUGCAAGUCGAGCGAACAGACGAGGAGCUUGCUCCUCUGACGUUAGCGGCGGACGGGUGAGUAACACGUGGAUAACCUACCUAUAAGACUGGGAUAACUUCGGGAAACCGGAGCUAAUACCGGAUAAUAUAUUGAACCGCAUGGUUCAAUAGUGAAAGACGGUUUUGCUGUCACUUAUAGAUGGAUCCGCGCCGCAUUAGCUAGUUGGUAAGGUGACGGCUUACCAAGGCAACGAUGCGUAGCCGACCUGAGAGGGUGAUCGGCCACACUGGAACUGAGACACGGUCCAGACUCCUACGGGAGGCAGCAGUAGGGAAUCUUCCGCAAUGGGCGAAAGCCUGACGGAGCAACGCCGCGUGAAUGAUGAAGGUCUUCGGAUCGUAAAACUCUGUUAUUAGGGAAGAACAAAUGUGUAAGUAACUAUGCACGUCUUGACGGUACCUAAUCAGAAAGCCACGGCUAACUACGUGCCAGCAGCCGCGGUAAUACGUAGGUGGCAAGCGUUAUCCGGAAUUAUUGGGCGUAAAGCGCGCGUAGGCGGUUUUUUAAGUCUGAUGUGAAAGCCCACGGCUCAACCGUGGAGGGUCAUUGGA